RNAcentral lists this ribosomal RNA (405 nucleotides) under uncultured prokaryote. RNAcentral describes it as "bacterial SSU rRNA". It matches the Rfam family "Bacterial small subunit ribosomal RNA", at positions 355 to 774 of the family's 1533-position model. The record is from RNAcentral.
UGGGGAAUUUUCCGCAAUGGGGGAAACCCUGACGUAGCGACACCGCGUGAGCGAAGAAGCCCCUUGGGGUGUAAAGCUCUGUCAGCUGGAACGAAAAAAAUGACGGUACCAGCAGAGGAAGCAUCGGCUAACUACGUGCCAGCAGCCGCGGUAAGACGUAGGAUGCGAGCGUUGUCCGGAUUUAUUGGGCGUAAAGGGUUCGUAGGUGGUUUGUCAAGUCUGAUGUUAAAGAUCGGGGCUCAACCCUGGGACGGCAUUGGAUACUGGCAGACUUGAGUGUGGUAGAGGCUAGUGGAAUUCCCAGUGUAGCGGUGAAAUGCGUAGAUAUUGGGAAGAACACCGGUGGCGUAGGCGACUAGCUGGGCCAUAACUGACACUGAGGAACGAAAGCCAGGGUAGCGAAUG